RNAcentral lists this ribosomal RNA (441 nucleotides) under Clostridioides difficile. RNAcentral describes it as "bacterial LSU rRNA". It matches the Rfam family "Bacterial large subunit ribosomal RNA", at positions 2185 to 2624 of the family's 2925-position model. Lineage: Bacteria; Bacillati; Bacillota; Clostridia; Peptostreptococcales; Peptostreptococcaceae. The record is from RNAcentral.
GCCAUCCUUGGGAUACCACCCUUGUAGUACUGGGACUCUAACCAUAGGCCAUGAAUCUGGUCUUGGGACACUGUCAGGUGGGCAGUUUGACUGGGGCGGUCGCCUCCCAAAAGGUAACGGAGGCGCUCAACGGUUCUCUCAGUACGGUCGGAAAUCGUACGUAGAGUGUAAAGGCAAAAGAGAGCUGGAUUGCAAGACAUACAGGUCGAGCACGGAUGAAAAUCGGACUUAGUGAGCCGGUGGUUCUGCGGGGACGGGCCAUCGCUCAACGGAUAAAAGCUACCCUGGGGAUAACAGGCUUAUACCCCCCACGAGUCCACAUCGCCGCGGAGGUUUGGCACCUCGAUGACGGCGCACCACAUCCUGGGGCCGUAGUAGGUCCCAAGGGUUGGGCUGUUCGCCCAUUAAAGUGGUACGCGAGCUGGGUUCAGAACGUCGUGA